This 2926-nucleotide ribosomal RNA is filed under the name Salmonella enterica subsp. enterica serovar Cubana str. CFSAN002050. RNAcentral describes it as "bacterial LSU rRNA". It matches the Rfam family "Bacterial large subunit ribosomal RNA". The record is from RNAcentral. Lineage: Bacteria; Pseudomonadati; Pseudomonadota; Gammaproteobacteria; Enterobacterales; Enterobacteriaceae.
GGGUUGUGAGGUUAAGCGACUAAGCGUACACGGUGGAUGCCCUGGCAGUCAGAGGCGAUGAAGGGCGUGCUAAUCUGCGAUAAGCGCCGGUAAGGUGAUAUGAACCGUUAUAACCGGCGAUACCCGAAUGGGGAAACCCAGUGUGACUCGUCACACUAUCAUUAACUGAAUCCAUAGGUUAAUGAGGCGAACCGGGGGAACUGAAACAUCUAAGUACCCCGAGGAAAAGAAAUCAACCGAGAUUCCCCCAGUAGCGGCGAGCGAACGGGGAGGAGCCCAGAGCCUGAAUCAGCAUGUGUGUUAGUGGAAGCGUCUGGAAAGGCGCGCGAUACAGGGUGACAGCCCCGUACACAAAAGCGCAUGUGCUGUGAGCUCGAUGAGUAGGGCGGGACACGUGGUAUCCUGUCUGAAUAUGGGGGGACCAUCCUCCAAGGCUAAAUACUCCUGACUGACCGAUAGUGAACCAGUACCGUGAGGGAAAGGCGAAAAGAACCCCGGCGAGGGGAGUGAAAAAGAACCUGAAACCGUGUACGUACAAGCAGUGGGAGCACAGGUUUACCUGUGUGACUGCGUACCUUUUGUAUAAUGGGUCAGCGACUUAUAUUCUGUAGCAAGGUUAACCGAAUAGGGGAGCCGCAGGGAAACCGAGUCUUAACCGGGCGUUAAGUUGCAGGGUAUAGACCCGAAACCCGGUGAUCUAGCCAUGGGCAGGUUGAAGGUUGGGUAACACUAACUGGAGGACCGAACCGACUAAUGUUGAAAAAUUAGCGGAUGACCUGUGGCUGGGGGUGAAAGGCCAAUCAAACCGGGAGAUAGCUGGUUCUCCCCGAAAGCUAUUUAGGUAGCGCCUCGUGAAUUCAUCUCCGGGGGUAGAGCACUGUUUCGGCUAGGGGGCCAUCCCGGCUUACCAACCCGAUGCAAACUGCGAAUACCGGAGAAUGUUAUCACGGGAGACACACGGCGGGUGCUAACGUCCGUCGUGAAGAGGGAAACAACCCAGACCGCCAGCUAAGGUCCCAAAGUCAUGGUUAAGUGGGAAACGAUGUGGGAAGGCCCAGACAGCCAGGAUGUUGGCUUAGAAGCAGCCAUCAUUUAAAGAAAGCGUAAUAGCUCACUGGUCGAGUCGGCCUGCGCGGAAGAUGUAACGGGGCUAAACCAUGCACCGAAGCUGCGGCAGCGACACUGUGUGUUGUUGGGUAGGGGAGCGUUCUGUAAGCCUGUGAAGGUGGCCUGUGAGGGUUGCUGGAGGUAUCAGAAGUGCGAAUGCUGACAUAAGUAACGAUAAAGCGGGUGAAAAGCCCGCUCGCCGGAAGACCAAGGGUUCCUGUCCAACGUUAAUCGGGGCAGGGUGAGUCGACCCCUAAGGCGAGGCCGAAAGGCGUAGUCGAUGGGAAACGGGUUAAUAUUCCCGUACUUGGUGUUACUGCGAAGGGGGGACGGAGAAGGCUAUGUUGGCCGGGCGACGGUUGUCCCGGUUUAAGCGUGUAGGCUGGUUUUCCAGGCAAAUCCGGAAAAUCAAGGCUGAGGCGUGAUGACGAGGCACUACGGUGCUGAAGCAACAAAUACCCUGCUUCCAGGAAAAGCCUCUAAGCAUCAGGUAACAUCAAAUCGUACCCCAAACCGACACAGGUGGUCAGGUAGAGAAUACCAAGGCGCUUGAGAGAACUCGGGUGAAGGAACUAGGCAAAAUGGUGCCGUAACUUCGGGAGAAGGCACGCUGACAUGUAGGUGAAGUGAUUUACUCACGGAGCUGAAGUCAGUCGAAGAUACCAGCUGGCUGCAACUGUUUAUUAAAAACACAGCACUGUGCAAACACGAAAGUGGACGUAUACGGUGUGACGCCUGCCCGGUGCCGGAAGGUUAAUUGAUGGGGUCAGCGCAAGCGAAGCUCCUGAUCGAAGCCCCGGUAAACGGCGGCCGUAACUAUAACGGUCCUAAGGUAGCGAAAUUCCUUGUCGGGUAAGUUCCGACCUGCACGAAUGGCGUAAUGAUGGCCAGGCUGUCUCCACCCGAGACUCAGUGAAAUUGAACUCGCUGUGAAGAUGCAGUGUACCCGCGGCAAGACGGAAAGACCCCGUGAACCUUUACUAUAGCUUGACACUGAACAUUGAGCCUUGAUGUGUAGGAUAGGUGGGAGGCUUUGAAGUGUGGACGCCAGUCUGCAUGGAGCCGACCUUGAAAUACCACCCUUUAAUGUUUGAUGUUCUAACGUGGACCCGUUACCCGGGUUGCGGACAGUGUCUGGUGGGUAGUUUGACUGGGGCGGUCUCCUCCUAAAGAGUAACGGAGGAGCACGAAGGUUGGCUAAUCCUGGUCGGACAUCAGGAGGUUAGUGCAAUGGCAUAAGCCAGCUUGACUGCGAGCGUGACGGCGCGAGCAGGUGCGAAAGCAGGUCAUAGUGAUCCGGUGGUUCUGAAUGGAAGGGCCAUCGCUCAACGGAUAAAAGGUACUCCGGGGAUAACAGGCUGAUACCGCCCAAGAGUUCAUAUCGACGGCGGUGUUUGGCACCUCGAUGUCGGCUCAUCACAUCCUGGGGCUGAAGUAGGUCCCAAGGGUAUGGCUGUUCGCCAUUUAAAGUGGUACGCGAGCUGGGUUUAGAACGUCGUGAGACAGUUCGGUCCCUAUCUGCCGUGGGCGCUGGAGAACUGAGGGGGGCUGCUCCUAGUACGAGAGGACCGGAGUGGACGCAUCACUGGUGUUCGGGUUGUCAUGCCAAUGGCACUGCCCGGUAGCUAAAUGCGGAAGAGAUAAGUGCUGAAAGCAUCUAAGCACGAAACUUGCCCCGAGAUGAGUUCUCCCUGAGACUUAGAGUCUCCUGAAGGAACGUUGAAGACGACGACGUUGAUAGGCCGGGUGUGUAAGCGCAGCGAUGCGUUGAGCUAACCGGUACUAAUGAACCGUGAGGCUUAACCUUACAACGCCGAAG